GACAGAGGGUGCAAACGUUGCUCGGAAUCACUGGGCGUAAAGGGCGUGUAGGCGGGUAGAUAAGUCGGGCGUGAAAUCCCUAGGCUCAACCUAGGAACUGCACUCGAAACUGUUUAUCUUGAGUGCCGGAGAGGAAAGCGGAAUUCCUGGUGUAGAGGUGAAAUUCGUAGAUAUCAGGAGGAACACCAGUGGCGAAGGCGGCUUUCUGGACGGUAA
Molecule: ribosomal RNA, 216 nt
Filed under: uncultured bacterium
Lineage: Bacteria
Description: partial 16S ribosomal RNA
Rfam family: Bacterial small subunit ribosomal RNA
Source: RNAcentral